GAAAUUUUGGUUAAUCGUUUUAUUUUUUUGACAAAAUUAAAAAUUCAUGCUGGAAAUGAUAUAUAUAUAUAUAUACCAUCAUCACAUGUGUACGACUUUAGUUCCAUUUUUAGUAUUAAAUAUUUUUCAGCUGAGUGCUCCUUAGCUUUUUAGGAUGAGUUUGUGUGCAUACUUUUCUAGAAUUUCUAUCUAUUUCCUCUUUGAAUUAAAUCCACAAUCAACCUAGUUAUCUUAUACCUUGCACCAAUUUCAGUAGUGGCUAAUGUUGCCCUG
This 273-nucleotide unclassified non-coding RNA is filed under the name Hevea brasiliensis (rubber tree). Lineage: Eukaryota; Viridiplantae; Streptophyta; Magnoliopsida; Malpighiales; Euphorbiaceae. The record is from RNAcentral.